Molecule: long non-coding RNA, 1751 nt
Organism: Notolabrus celidotus (New Zealand spotty)
Lineage: Eukaryota; Metazoa; Chordata; Actinopteri; Labriformes; Labridae
Exons: 3
Source: RefSeq, a predicted model, not a curated record
GGUUGGUUACUCACUUCCCAAAGUUCGCUCCGCUGCUCAGGUUGUUGAACUCAUCGUCGUCCGAGCUCGAGUCGGACUCUGAGUCCGGAGGUUCGGUUCGGAGAAGCCGGUGACCAGACCCCUUUUUGGUCUUCUUUCUCUUGCUGUCCCCGAGUCCGAUCAAGGCGUUCAGCUCCUUCCUCUUCUUCAUUUUCUUCUGAGGGGUCAGCGAACCCGCCGAGCCCGACUUGUACCCGACUAAAUCCAAAGUUUUGUCCAGUUUGGUGGAUGUUGACGUUUACGAAGCAGCUAUGCUACUGUGAUGCUUUUAGCUAGCUUUAACCAAACAAGAUGACUGAUUCAAACACAUCGGACUUUGUUGUUUGGUGGCCUCGUUGACAAACGCAGAUAUUCAACAGCUGACCGGUCUUAGGUUAGCAAUUCAAGUGACACCUCUCGUUAACUUAUUUCGCUGUUGUCCGCCGGUCCUCACAUAUGUUAGCUAAUGUUUCCUCAGCUAGCGCCUGACACCUUGCUAACACCUCGCCGUCGUUACUGUGAUAUCACAUCGCAGUGAGCUUUGAUAUAACCUGCCUGGUCAAUCAUUUUCGAAACAACUGUGUUAAAAUAUUCGUACAGUAUAAAAUGUAUCUUUAGGAAAUUAAAAAUACACUCUACUGUAUAUACAGCGAUAUGUCCUGUUGCCCGUAUUGUUCCAGCAAAGGCGUCCAAGUAAUCUCACACCCGAUUGGUCUAGCGAGCAGAUACAAGUUCCGGUGCUCUGUUCUGUCAGGGAGCGAAACAGAGCACAGCACCACCUGCGUCAACCUGCUAGUUCACAACGCCGCAAUCACAACAUCAAGCCAAGGGCGAUAAAGAACACCUGGUGAGGGGACAAGCAUCACGCUGAGGGCCUAUGCAGACCCCCGUCGGCAUGAGGCUGCAAAUCAAAGCAUCAGAGGUGUUUCAUCUCGUCUCCAGAGUCUCUACAUUUCAUCCAGGGUUAAGACUGAGAGGAUGACACUUCAACUUAUGGCUUCUUACAUCUGCAGCUACGAGUCUCUAGAGGCCUCAGGAGGACUUUGCUCAGACUCCCAGAAUGGUGAGGUCGAAGUCAUCCAGCAGUGGCCUCCGUCUGGCAUUUUACCCAGAGCACAUCCUGUGGGAGCGGGAGCUUUGGAGCCGGCUGCGCGACCACAUCAAACAAUGGCUUUUUGUUGUAAACAAAGCCAGGGCAGCUUGCCGGGGGCCCUCUCUCUCUCUCUCUCUCUCUCUCUCUCUCUCUCUCUCUCUCUCUCUCUCUCUCUCUCUCUCUCUCUCUCUUUCUCUCUCUCUCCACACGCUUACGGCCUGGAUCCAGUCUGCCUACUAUAAUUCUGGACUGUCAGACAAAUGUGCGCCAAUGCACCACAAGUCUUUCUGUUGCAUUUGCAUUUGUACACAGCAACCAUGAACCUGGCAGCACAACAGACAAAUUCAAAUUUGUGGAAAAUAGUUAAGCUAGAUGAAAAGCAAAACUAACGGUUAGCCUCGAGAGGAUAGUUAAAACACAAUCACCUGAACAGUUGUUUGACUGCACAGCACAAAACAUAAUGUCCUUAUGUUUGUUUAUUGGUUGGUGAACCACUGCUGCAGCUGCUUUGUCCAGAGGACAGAGCACCAGUUGUGCAUAAAAUAUUUAAUGUGGAUUUGUUUUCCUGAAAUACACAAUAACAUAUGCUUGUCCCUAAGUUUUAUCUCCACCAUUAAAGAAUGCAUUGUGUUAAAAUGAA